RNAcentral lists this ribosomal RNA (435 nucleotides) under Salmonella enterica subsp. enterica serovar Oranienburg. RNAcentral describes it as "bacterial SSU rRNA". It matches the Rfam family "Bacterial small subunit ribosomal RNA", at positions 1110 to 1533 of the family's 1533-position model. The record is from RNAcentral. Lineage: Bacteria; Pseudomonadati; Pseudomonadota; Gammaproteobacteria; Enterobacterales; Enterobacteriaceae.
CUUUGUUGCCAGCGGUCCGGCCGGGAACUCAAAGGAGACUGCCAGUGAUAAACUGGAGGAAGGUGGGGAUGACGUCAAGUCAUCAUGGCCCUUACGACCAGGGCUACACACGUGCUACAAUGGCGCAUACAAAGAGAAGCGACCUCGCGAGAGCAAGCGGACCUCAUAAAGUGCGUCGUAGUCCGGAUUGGAGUCUGCAACUCGACUCCAUGAAGUCGGAAUCGCUAGUAAUCGUGGAUCAGAAUGCCACGGUGAAUACGUUCCCGGGCCUUGUACACACCGCCCGUCACACCAUGGGAGUGGGUUGCAAAAGAAGUAGGUAGCUUAACCUUCGGGAGGGCGCUUACCACUUUGUGAUUCAUGACUGGGGUGAAGUCGUAACAAGGUAACCGUAGGGGAACCUGCGGUUGGAUCACCUCCUUACCUGAAAGAAGC